GAGCCCCAAAUUUUUUCCGUAGGGUGCACCUGCGGAGGAUCAUU
This 44-nucleotide ribosomal RNA is filed under the name Penicillium brevicompactum. RNAcentral's name for it is "partial 18S ribosomal RNA". Lineage: Eukaryota; Fungi; Ascomycota; Eurotiomycetes; Eurotiales; Aspergillaceae. The record is from RNAcentral.